CCUACGGGGCGCUGCAGUGGGGAAUAUUGGACAAUGGGCGAAAGCCUGAUCCAGCCAUGCCGCGUGUGUGAAGAAGGCCUUCGGGUUGUAAAGCACUUUCAGUGGGGAAGAAAGCCUUGGGGCUAAUACCCUCGAGGAAGGACAUCACCCACAGAAGAAGCACCGGCUAACUCCGUGCCAGCAGCCGCGGUAAUACGGAGGGUGCGAGCGUUAAUCGGAAUUACUGGGCGUAAAGCGCGCGUAGGCGGUCUGAUAAGCCGGUUGUGAAAGCCCCGGGCUCAACCUGGGAACGGCAUCCGGAACUGUCAGGCUAGAGUGCAGGAGAGGAAGGUAGAAUUCCCGGUGUAGCGGUGAAAUGCGUAGAGAUCGGGAGGAAUACCAGUGGCGAAGGCGGCCUUCUGGACUGACACUGACGCUGAGGUGCGAAAGCGUGGGUAGCAAACAGGAUUAGAUACCCUAGUAGUC
RNAcentral lists this ribosomal RNA (465 nucleotides) under Vreelandella stevensii. RNAcentral describes it as "partial 16S ribosomal RNA". It matches the Rfam family "Bacterial small subunit ribosomal RNA", at positions 338 to 795 of the family's 1533-position model. Lineage: Bacteria; Pseudomonadati; Pseudomonadota; Gammaproteobacteria; Oceanospirillales; Halomonadaceae. The record is from RNAcentral.